AACGAACGCUGGCGGCAUGCCUAAUACAUGCAAGUCGAACGAGACCUUCGGGUCUUGUGGCGCAUGGGUGCGUAACGCGUGGGAACCUGCCCUUAGGUUCGGAAUAACUCCCCGAAAGGGGUGCUAAUACCGGAUAAUGUCUUCGGACCAAAGAUUUAUCGCCUUUGGAUGGGCCCGCGUUGGAUUAGCUAGUUAGUAGGGUAAAAGUCUACCAAGGCGACGAUUCAUAGCUGGUUUGAGAGGAGGAUCAGCCACACUGGGACUGAGACACGGCCCAGACUCCUACGGGAUGCAGCAGAGGGGAAUAUUGGACAGUGGGCGAAAUGCUGAUCCAGCUAUGCCGGGUGAGUGAUGAAGGCCGUAGGGUUGUAAAGCUCUUUUACCCGGGAUGAUAAUGACGGUACCGGGAGAAUAAGCUCCGGCUAACUCCGUG
This 433-nucleotide ribosomal RNA is filed under the name uncultured bacterium. Its description in RNAcentral is "partial 16S ribosomal RNA". It matches the Rfam family "Bacterial small subunit ribosomal RNA", at positions 29 to 507 of the family's 1533-position model. The record is from RNAcentral.